UUUAUUAUCAUAAGUGAUCGCUUGGCCCAGUGGGAGACGGGGUUGAUCCCCCAUGAACCCAAGGUCAGGGGUUCAACCCCCAACGCAUGCAAUCUGUCUUAUUCUUAUUCCUUUUCACUUCCAUUUUAUUUAUUUUCAUCCCAUUUAAUUUGUUUUUCAUUUUAUUUUUCACCCCAUUUAUUUUAUUAUUCUGAAAAUAUUUCCAACAUGGACCCUUGUUUAUGCCUUGUUUAUGUCAUUUGAACAAUUUUCCAUGAACUUAU
RNAcentral lists this long non-coding RNA (263 nucleotides) under Lathyrus oleraceus (garden pea). RNAcentral describes it as "Pisum sativum (pea) long non-coding RNA (PSAT_LNC025564)". Lineage: Eukaryota; Viridiplantae; Streptophyta; Magnoliopsida; Fabales; Fabaceae. The record is from RNAcentral.